Molecule: long non-coding RNA, 481 nt
Organism: Brienomyrus brachyistius
Lineage: Eukaryota; Metazoa; Chordata; Actinopteri; Osteoglossiformes; Mormyridae
Exons: 3
Source: RefSeq, a predicted model, not a curated record
GUGCAAGACGCUGUCAACAAGUACAAAAUUCUAGUGGUUGUCGGGUGUACAGGAAAUCAUGGCCAGUGUGAUAUCAACAAACCAUUGUGGAAGCCCAGGACUGAAAAUCUAAAAAAAGCAGAGGCCUUCAACUAAUUUUGUAAAUGUCACAUUCUGACGAUUCAAGAGCAGGUGUGAGGGCAAAACAAUAAGGGGUUUGAGGACAUGGGAACAGGGCAGACAAAAGGCACAGCUAGCAACAUCAAUGACCAGCAGAGCACAAGCCUGGGAGGCACUCUUAUACUGGACUAACGAGGGAGCAGACGAGAGGCAGCUGGAGUGAUCCACAUGUGGGCUGAGGCGAGAGAGGAGCCUGGGGGCCUGGAGCCAGUAGGCCCACUGGACAGGAUGCCAGUCCAUGGCAGGGCCCACACUGUACAGCACAUACUGUAACUGUAUGUUAAGAAAACAUUCUGCCUGCAGACCAUACCCUGCAUAAGAC